This 1371-nucleotide ribosomal RNA is filed under the name uncultured bacterium. Its description in RNAcentral is "bacterial SSU rRNA". It matches the Rfam family "Bacterial small subunit ribosomal RNA", at positions 28 to 1380 of the family's 1533-position model. The record is from RNAcentral.
GAUGAACGCUGGCGGCGUGCCUAAUACAUGCAAGUCGAGCGAACAGAUAAGGAGCUUGCUCCUUUGACGUUAGCGGCGGACGGGUGAGUAACACGUGGGUAACCUACCUAUAAGACUGGGAUAACUUCGGGAAACCGGAGCUAAUACCGGAUAAUAUUUCGAACCGCAUGGUUCGAUAGUGAAAGAUGGUUUUGCUAUCACUUAUAGAUGGACCCGCGCCGUAUUAGCUAGUUGGUAAGGUAACGGCUUACCAAGGCGACGAUACGUAGCCGACCUGAGAGGGUGAUCGGCCACACUGGAACUGAGACACGGUCCAGACUCCUACGGGAGGCAGCAGUAGGGAAUCUUCCGCAAUGGGCGAAAGCCUGACGGAGCAACGCCGCGUGAGUGAUGAAGGUCUUCGGAUCGUAAAACUCUGUUAUUAGGGAAGAACAUACGUGUAAGUAACUGUGCACGUCUUGACGGUACCUAAUCAGAAAGCCACGGCUAACUACGUGCCAGCAGCCGCGGUAAUACGUAGGUGGCAAGCGUUAUCCGGAAUUAUUGGGCGUAAAGCGCGCGUAGGCGGUUUUUUAAGUCUGAUGUGAAAGCCCACGGCUCAGCCGUGGAGGGUCAUUGGAAACUGGAAAACUUGAGUGCAGAAGAGGAAAGUGGAAUUCCAUGUGUAGCGGUGAAAUGCGCAGAGAUAUGGAGGAACACCAGUGGCGAAGGCGACUUUCUGGUCUGUAACUGACGCUGAUGUGCGAAAGCGUGGGGAUCAAACAGGAUUAGAUACCCUGGUAGUCCACGCCGUAAACGAUGAGUGCUAAGUGUUAGGGGGUUUCCGCCCCUUAGUGCUGCAGCUAACGCAUUAAGCACUCCGCCUGGGGAGUACGACCGCAAGGUUGAAACUCAAAGGAAUUGACGGGGACCCGCACAAGCGGUGGAGCAUGUGGUUUAAUUCGAAGCAACGCGAAGAACCUUACCAAAUCUUGACAUCCUUUGACAACUCUAGAGAUAGAGCUUUCCCCUUCGGGGGACAAAGUGACAGGUGGUGCAUGGUUGUCGUCAGCUCGUGUCGUGAGAUGUUGGGUUAAGUCCCGCAACGAGCGCAACCCUUAAGCUUAGUUGCCAUCAUUAAGUUGGGCACUCUAAGUUGACUGCCGGUGACAAACCGGAGGAAGGUGGGGAUGACGUCAAAUCAUCAUGCCCCUUAUGAUUUGGGCUACACACGUGCUACAAUGGACAAUACAAAGGGCAGCGAAACCGCGAGGUCAAGCAAAUCCCAUAAAGUUGUUCUCAGUUCGGAUUGUAGUCUGCAACUCGACUACAUGAAGCUGGAAUCGCUAGUAAUCGUAGAUCAGCAUGCUACGGUGAAUACGAUCCCGGGUC